UUUAUAUAUUGCUUGUUUCUCUGACUGUACAUAAUUCAAGAGUAUAUGACUCCGGCAAGCACGCACCGACGUCGAUUUCAACGUCAAUGGCUGUUUCCAACGUCUUGCCGAAGCAACGCGGGAUAAUCAAGGGUGGGAGUUCCUGCAGAACAGGAUAAACUCGGUAAUGAUCCUUCCGCAGGUUCACCUACGGAAA
RNAcentral lists this unclassified non-coding RNA (196 nucleotides) under uncultured fungus. Its description in RNAcentral is "sequence contains ITS1". The record is from RNAcentral. Lineage: Eukaryota; Fungi.